UAGAGUUUGAUCCUGGCUCAGAUUGAGCGCUGGCGGUAUGCUUAACACAUGCAAGUCGAACGGAAACGAUGUUAGCUUGCUAACAGGCGUCGAGUGGCGGACGGGUGAGUAACGCGUAGGAAUCUACCAAGUAGUGGGGGAUAGCCCGGAGAAAUCCGGAUUAAUACCGCAUAAUCUCUACGGAGUAAAGAGGGCCUCUAUUUAUAAGCUUUCGCUAUUUGAUGAGCCUGCGUAAGAUUAGCUUGUUGGUGAGGUAAAAGCUCACCAAGGCAACGAUCUUUAGCUGGUCUGAGAGGAUGAUCAGCCACACUGGGACUGAGACACGGCCCAGACUCCUACGGGAGGCAGCAGUGGGGAAUAUUGGACAAUGGGCGCAAGCCUGAUCCAGCAAUACCGCGUGUGUGAAGAAGGCCUGAGGGUUGUAAAGCACUUUCAAUUGUGA
This 442-nucleotide ribosomal RNA is filed under the name uncultured marine bacterium. RNAcentral describes it as "bacterial SSU rRNA". It matches the Rfam family "Bacterial small subunit ribosomal RNA", at positions 1 to 445 of the family's 1533-position model. The record is from RNAcentral.